RNAcentral lists this ribosomal RNA (459 nucleotides) under uncultured bacterium. Its description in RNAcentral is "partial 16S ribosomal RNA". It matches the Rfam family "Bacterial small subunit ribosomal RNA", at positions 338 to 795 of the family's 1533-position model. The record is from RNAcentral.
CCUACGGGGGGCAGCAGUGAGGAAUAUUGGUCAAUGGCCGGAAGGCUGAACCAGCCAUGCCGCGUGAAGGUCAGUGCCCUAUGGGCGUUAAACUCCUUUUGUGCGGGAGCAAUAAUGGUCACGUGUGGCCAGACGAGAGUACCGUACGAAUAAGCAUCGGCUAACUCCGUGCCAGCAGCCGCGGUAAUACGGGGGAUGCAAGCGUUAUCCGGAUUUACUGGGUGUAAAGGGCGUGCAGCCGGAGAGACAAGUCAGAUGUGAAAUCCACGGGCUCAACCCGUGAACUGCAUUUGAAACUGUUUCCCUAGAGUGCUGGAGAGGUAAGCGGAAUUCCUAGUGUAGCGGUGAAAUGCGUAGAUAUUAGGAAGAACACCAGUGGCGAAGGCGGCUUACUGGACAGUAACUGACGUUGAGGCUCGAAAGCGUGGGGAGCAAACAGGAUUAGAUACCCUAGUAGUC